GGCUCCCCCGGGGCCGGGGUUUGCAAAGCAGGAGAGGGGGGGCUCUGCUCCGGGGGCCGCGGCCUCCCCCAGCACUUGGUAACGGGACGGGGAUCCCGCUGGGACGGGCCAGAGGGGCCCUGGAAGCGCGUGGGGCCACCUGUGUGAGCGGGGAGAGCGGACUGCUCCGGCCGGCCCCGCACAAUACCGGAGCGAGCAGGUAACUCCAGCCUAUGGCUCGCUCCCCGCUCGCGGGUACCCGCAGGGCCGCGUCUCGGAGGCGGGCUGGUCGAUUUCACGGCCAGGUGCCCACGGGCGGAUGGAACAGGAAAGGGAGCCCGGGGAACGGAGACUUUUACAAGAUCGACGCACUGGCAGAUCCGCUUCCAGGGAAACUUUAUUCCACAACCCUGGGGGGCGGGGAAUAAACACGGGGUUUUCGUGCCCCUUUUACCGAGCCGUGCUGCCUUUUUCCGCGGGAUCCCGCCCCGGGGUGAAGUGCCCGGCCACCCGGCUCCCUGCCCGGGAACCAGACAAGCGCCCGCCUGCACGCCCGGCUGGGGCCAUGGCGGUCCCCGGGAAUCCUGCCCCGCGCGGGGGGGGGGGGGGUUAAACCUCGGUGAGCUCUGGCGAAGCAGCGAUUCGUAGUUUACAAGGGGCCUUUAACAGCCCGCCUGUUUAAAAGGGAGUCAGUCCCCCGAGUUAGUAGAGCAGGGGGAGGGAAGCAAGCGCAGGAGUGCAAUUGAUAGGGGGGUGCUUCCCCUCCCUGUGCACCUGCCUAAACACAGCCACAAAUGGAGGCGUCUGCUCCCCCUAAAGUCAGCCAGGGCUCAGCAGUGCGGAGCAGGCCGCAGUCACAGGGCUGACCGAGGCUGGAGGAAGGAGCUAUUGCCAAACGGGGCAGUCAGCUUUACCCACCAUGGGGAGCUGGAGGCGAAGCUCCUGGCUGCUAAGGAGCAGGAAAUACCAACUCUAUCAAAGGAGCAGCCCCCCCCGUGCAGCUGAUUGGAGUUUCCCAGGAGGAGCUGCUUCCACUCCCUGGAACUAAAUUUAGGACUAAAACCCCAGGGUGCUCUUCAUUUUCUGGCAAGCCAACGCCUAAUAACUUCCCCGCCCCCCACCUGUCCUUGCACCAGCCUCCAGCUUUGAUGCGAUGUGGCAGUAGCCCAGCACCUGCUUUUGGACUAUAAAGUGGUGCAGCUUUAAAGCUGGCACUGACCAGCGAGCAUGCAGUCAGCAGGACCCACACUGGUAAGGGGACAGGGCUGGUGCAUUGACCUACACUCCCCAGGCACAAAAAUGGACACAGCCCCUCCCCCCAGCAGCAGGCUAUUUCAAGGCCCAGACCCCUGAGUCUAGAGGCCUCUCGCUUUGUGGGCAGUAGAAGGAGAGAGGGGGAAAGCUCUAAAACCCCUGAUUUCCCCAGAAGCAG
RNAcentral lists this long non-coding RNA (1411 nucleotides) under Terrapene triunguis (Three-toed box turtle). Its description in RNAcentral is "Terrapene carolina triunguis (Three-toed box turtle) lncRNA (ENSTMTG00000001176.1)". Lineage: Eukaryota; Metazoa; Chordata; Testudines; Emydidae. The record is from RNAcentral.